RNAcentral lists this ribosomal RNA (521 nucleotides) under uncultured bacterium. RNAcentral's name for it is "bacterial SSU rRNA". It matches the Rfam family "Bacterial small subunit ribosomal RNA", at positions 8 to 526 of the family's 1533-position model. The record is from RNAcentral.
AGAGUUUGAUCCUGGCUCAGAUUGAACGCUGGCGGCAUGCCUUACACAUGCAAGUCGAACGGUAACAGGUCUUCGGAUGCUGACGAGUGGCGAACGGGUGAGUAAUACAUCGGAACGUGCCCGAUCGUGGGGGAUAACGGAGCGAAAGCUUUGCUAAUACCGCAUGCGAUCUACGGAUGAAAGCGGGGGAUCGCAAGACCUCGCGCGGACGGAGCGGCCGAUGGCAGAUUAGGUAGUUGGUGGGAUAAAAGCUUACCAAGCCGACGAUCUGUAGCUGGUCUGAGAGGACGACCAGCCACACUGGGACUGAGACACGGCCCAGACUCCUACGGGAGGCAGCAGUGGGGAAUUUUGGACAAUGGGCGAAAGCCUGAUCCAGCCAUGCCGCGUGCAGGAUGAAGGCCUUCGGGUUGUAAACUGCUUUUGUACGGAACGAAAAGACUCCUUCUAAUAAAGGGGGUCCAUGACGGUACCGUAAGAAUAAGCACCGGCUAACUACGUGCCAGCAGCCGCGGUAAUAA